RNAcentral lists this non-coding RNA (165 nucleotides) under unclassified sequences. RNAcentral describes it as "FuFi-1 RNA". It matches the Rfam family "FuFi-1 RNA". The record is from Rfam by way of RNAcentral.
UCUAACAGCUAAAGGUAUACUUUGUGGCAGAACUGCAACUGCCUAAGUGUUAGAAGUCUCACAGAAAAGAAUGGUACACAACAUUCUUAGGUGUGAACCUUGCAAGAUAAUUAAGUAAACAAAUGUAGCAAGUAAGUGUUGUAGUGUGUAAUACAACAUUUUUUG